GUCGAUUUGAUGAGCUCUCCAACAAGCCCGAUGUUCCUGCUGAUGAUUAGUCUACAAAGUAUCUAAUGGGCAAUUCUCCAUGGAGAGAAUGGUCAUUGCUCAUUGAGAGGAUGGUGAAUGGCUUUUGAUUAGAUUUUAGGGAACAGGGAUGCCUCCAAAAUGAUCCCAUUGGCUAGGACUUUGAAGAGGACAAACUCUUGUAAGAACAGGACCUCCACUGUGCCAGCAUCUAAAGGUGCAUUUCCCCUAGUCUUCGGAGAAGAGUUUUUUAUCAUGGAUGUGUACCUUCUGCUUGCAUCUCAAACAUCACUAGAUUCUCUGAGUUUUCUCCCUCUUAGAUGCCACUGGCUUCUCAUUUGA
Molecule: long non-coding RNA, 360 nt
Filed under: Monodelphis domestica (gray short-tailed opossum)
Lineage: Eukaryota; Metazoa; Chordata; Mammalia; Didelphimorphia; Didelphidae
Description: lncRNA (ENSMODG00000032442.2)
Source: RNAcentral